RNAcentral lists this long non-coding RNA (797 nucleotides) under Numida meleagris (helmeted guineafowl). RNAcentral describes it as "lncRNA (ENSNMEG00000000482.1)". Lineage: Eukaryota; Metazoa; Chordata; Aves; Galliformes; Numididae. The record is from RNAcentral.
GGGGUGCCCACCUGAGCAUGGCCUCCUCCACGCGCGGCCCCGUGCGGGUGCUGCUCACCACGUCGUCCAACUGCAUCACGAUGUCGGCUCCUGCGGGCGUGUGUGGGGCGGCCCCACGGCGCUAUGGGGCAGCGCUCACCCGGCGCUAUGGGGCAGCGCUCACCCGGCGCUAUGGGGCAGCCCCAUAACUCCCAUUCCCUCCCCUUCCCUCCCCUCCCCUCCCCCUGGCGCAAUGGGGCAGCUAUGGGACUCAGCACGUUCUGUAGCCUCGUCCCCCCAGCGCUAUGGGGCAGCCCCAUAACUCCAGAGGGCUAUGGGGCAGGUGUGGGGCAGCCAUGGUGGAGGAUAUGGGGCAGCUAUGGGGCUCACCCAGUGCGGUCUGUAGCCCCAUCCCCCCUGUCCCCCCAGCGCUAUGGGGCAGCCCCAUAUCCCCAGAGGGCUAUGGGGCAGCUGUGGGGCAGGAUAUGGGGCAGCUAUGGGGCAGCUAUGGGGCACGCUAUGGGGCGGCCAUGGGGAUGAUAUGGGGCAGCCAUGGGGCGGCCACGGGGAUGAUAUGGGGCAGCCAUGGGGCGGCCAUGUGGGUGCUAUGGGGCAGCUAUGGGGCGGCCAUGUGGGGGCCAUGGGGCACGCUAUGGGGCACGCCAUGGGGCACGCCAUGGGGCACGCCAUGGGGGCGCUAUGGGGCAGCCAUGUGGGCGCUAUGGGGCGGCCAUGGGGCACGCUAUGGGGCACGCUAUGGGGCACGCCAUGGGGCACGCCAUGGGGCACGCUACGGGGCAGCCAUGGGGCACGCUAUG